GAUAGAGCACCUGCUUGAGGACUCAACCCGUCCACUGGAAGAGAGAAAUAAUAGACAACAUAUUUUUUUAAAGCAGGGAACUUUAUUACAAUAAUUUAAAAAAAAACACUCCACAGUUUAAAUAAAUUAUGGAAGUAGAAAAUUAAAUAAUUUAAGAUAACCAUCUCCAGGGAGGGGAGGAUAUACUGAAAGAAUUUGGGGAGGCGCAGGAAAACUUGAGAUAACACAUUAGUUCAAUACAAUCUCAACUUUCUCUCUACUGCCGUUAUUAGGCAUAUCCAAAUAAAGUCCAUCAAAUUACUGGAUUAAAGGGCUGUUGGAAUGCCCUAGAGGAAUUUGCUACAUAGCAAUAGCAAUAGCACACCCCUCUAUUUAUUGUU
Pseudonaja textilis is the source of this 380-nucleotide non-coding RNA. NCBI's taxonomy places the organism in Eukaryota, Metazoa, Chordata, Lepidosauria, Squamata, Elapidae. The record is from RefSeq and is a predicted model, not a curated record.